RNAcentral lists this ribosomal RNA (383 nucleotides) under uncultured eukaryote. Its description in RNAcentral is "partial 18S ribosomal RNA". It matches the Rfam family "Eukaryotic small subunit ribosomal RNA", at positions 592 to 976 of the family's 1831-position model. The record is from RNAcentral.
CAAUAGCGUAUAUUAAAGUUGUUGCAGUUAAAAAGCUCGUAGUUGGAUUUCUGGUGGGAGCGAUCGGUCUGGCGCUUAGCGCGAGUACUUGCAUCGUCUCCGGCCAUCCUUGGGGAGAGUCUGUCUGGCAUUAGGUUGUCGGGCAGAGGAUCCUCAUCGUUUACUGUGAAAAAAUUAGAGUGUUCAAAGCAGGCUUAUGCCGUUGAAUAUAUUAGCAUGGAAUAAUAAGAUAGGACUUUGGUACUAUUUUGUUGGUUUGCGCACCAAAGUAAUGAUUAAUAGGGACAGUUGGGGGUAUUCGUAUUCCGUUGUCAGAGGUGAAAUUCUUGGAUUUACGGAAGACGAACUUCUGCGAAAGCAUUUGCCAAGGAUGUUUUCAUUAA